UACGUAGGUGGCAAGCGUUGUCCGGAAUUAUUGGGCGUAAAGAGCUCGUAGGCGGCCAGUUGCGUCUGCUGUGAAAUCCCGGGGCUCAACCCCGGGCGUGCAGUGGAUACGGGCUGGCUAGAGGCAGGCAGGGGAGAACGGAAUUCCCGGUGUAGCGGUGAAAUGCGCAGAUAUCGGGAGGAACACCGGUGGCGAAGGCGGUUCUCUGGGCCUGUACUGACGCUGAGGAGCGAAAGCGUGGGGAGCGAACAGG
RNAcentral lists this ribosomal RNA (253 nucleotides) under uncultured bacterium. Its description in RNAcentral is "partial 16S ribosomal RNA". It matches the Rfam family "Bacterial small subunit ribosomal RNA", at positions 524 to 776 of the family's 1533-position model. The record is from RNAcentral.